RNAcentral lists this ribosomal RNA (468 nucleotides) under uncultured bacterium. RNAcentral's name for it is "partial 16S ribosomal RNA". It matches the Rfam family "Bacterial small subunit ribosomal RNA", at positions 28 to 507 of the family's 1533-position model. The record is from RNAcentral.
GACGAACGCUGGCGGUGUGCUUAACACAUGCAAGUCGAACGGAAAGGCCCUGCUUUUGUGGGGUGCUCGAGUGGCGAACGGGUGAGUAACACGUGAGUAACCUGCCCUUGACUUUGGGAUAACUUCAGGAAACUGGGGCUAAUACCGGAAAGGAGCUCCUGCUGCAUGGUGGGGGUUGGAAAGUUUCGGCGGUUGGGGAUGGACUCGCGGCUUAUCAGCUUGUUGGUGGGGGAGUGGCUUACCAAGGCUUUGACGGGUAGCCGGCCUGAGAGGGUGACCGGCCACAUUGGGACUGAGGUACGGCCCAGACUCCUACGGGAGGCAGCAGUGGGGAAUAUUGCACAAUGGGCGGAAGCCUGAUGCAGCAACGCCGCGUGCGGGAUGACGGCCUUCGGGUUGUAAACCGCUUUCGCCUGUGACGAAGCGUGAGUGACGGUAAUGGGUAAAGAAGCACCGGCUAACUACGUG